RNAcentral lists this ribosomal RNA (819 nucleotides) under uncultured Bacteroidota bacterium. RNAcentral describes it as "bacterial SSU rRNA". It matches the Rfam family "Bacterial small subunit ribosomal RNA", at positions 88 to 916 of the family's 1533-position model. Lineage: Bacteria; Pseudomonadati; Bacteroidota. The record is from RNAcentral.
GUGGCGACCGGUGCACGGGUGCGUAACGCGUAUGCAACCUACCCUGUACUGGGGGAUAGCCCGGAAAAUUCAGAUUAAUACCCCAUACUAUUUAGUUAUCCCAUGAUAGUUAAAUUAAAGGUUACGGUACAGGAUGGGCAUGCAUCCUAUUACCUAUAUGGUUUGGUAACGGCUUACCAUGGCAACUAUAGGUAGGGGGCCUGAGAGGGUGGUCCCCCACACUGGUACUGAGACACGGACCAGACUCCUACGGGAGGCACCAUUGAGGAAUAUUGGUCAAUGGGCGCAAGCCUGAACCACCCAUGCCGCGUGCAGGAAGAAUGCCCUAUGGGUUGUAAACUGCUUUUAUUUGGGAAUAAACCUCUUUACGUGUAGAGAGCUGAACGUACCAAAUGAAUAAGCACCGGCUAACUCCGUGCCAGCUCCCGCGGUAAUACAGAGGGUGCAAGCGUUAUCCGGAAUCAUUGGGUUUAAAGGGUCCGCAGGCGGGCAUAUAAGUCAGUGGUGAAAGCCUAUUGCUUAACAAUAGAACUGCCAUUGAUACUGUAUGUCUUGAAUUCGGUCGAAGUGGGCGGAAUUUCUAGUGUAGCGGUGAAAUGCGUAUAUAUUAGAAAGAACACCGGUGGCGAAAGCGCUCUACUGGAUCAUUACUGACACUCAGAGGCUAAAGCUAGGGUAGCAAAUGGGAUUAGAUACCCCUGUAGUCCGAGCCGUAACGAUGGAUACUAGAUGUGAGCAUUAUGUACAGUAUCGUACCUAACGCGUCAAGUAUCCAUCUGGGAGUACGCAUCGCACGGGUGAACUCAUACGAAUUGACGG